CCUACGGUGGGCUGCAGUGGGGAAUAUUGGGCAAUGGGCGAAAGCCUGACCCAGCAACGCCGCGUGAAGGAAGAAGGCUUUCGGGUUGUAAACUUCUUUUGACAGGGAAGAGCAGAAGACGGUACCUGUCGAAUAAGCCACGGCUAACUACGUGCCAGCAGCCGCGGUAAUACGUAGGUGGCAAGCGUUGUCCGGAUUUACUGGGUGUAAAGGGCGUGUAGCCGGGCUGACAAGUCAGAUGUGAAAUCCGGGGGCCCAACCCCCGAACUGCCUUGGAAACUGUUGGUCUGGAGUACCGGAGAGGCAGGCGGAAGUCCUAGUGGAGCGGGGAAAUGCGUAGAUAUUAGGAGGAACACCAGUGGCGAAGGCGGCCGGCUGGACGGCAACUGACGGUGAGGCGCGAAAGCGUGGGGAGCAAACAGGAUUAGAUACCCAUGUAGUC
This 442-nucleotide ribosomal RNA is filed under the name uncultured bacterium. RNAcentral's name for it is "partial 16S ribosomal RNA". It matches the Rfam family "Bacterial small subunit ribosomal RNA", at positions 338 to 795 of the family's 1533-position model. The record is from RNAcentral.